RNAcentral lists this ribosomal RNA (253 nucleotides) under uncultured bacterium. RNAcentral describes it as "partial 16S ribosomal RNA". It matches the Rfam family "Bacterial small subunit ribosomal RNA", at positions 524 to 776 of the family's 1533-position model. The record is from RNAcentral.
UACGUAUGUCGCGAGCGUUAUCCGGAAUUAUUGGGCAUAAAGGGCAUCUAGGCGGCCUAACAAGUCAGGGGUGAAAACCUGCGGCUCAACCGCAGGCUUGCCUUUGAAACUGUAAGGCUGGAGUAUCGGAGAGGUGGACGGAACUGCACGAGUAGAGGUGAAAUGCGUAGAUAUGUGGAGGAAUGCCGAUGAUGAAGAUAGUUCACUGGACGGUAACUGACGCUGAAGUGCGAAAGCGAGGGGAGCAAACAGG